GGUAGUCCACGCCCUAAACGAUGUCUACUAGUUGUCGGGUUUUAAUUAACUUGGUAACGCAGCUAACGCGUGAAGUAGACCGCCUGGGGAGUACGGUCGCAAGAUUAAAACUCAAAGGAAUUGACGGGGACCCGCACAAGCGGUGGAUGAUGUGGAUUAAUUCGAUGCAACGCGAAAAACCUUACCUACCCUUGACAUGUACGGAAGACCGAAGAGAUUUGGUUGUGCUCGAAAGAGAACCGUAACACAGGUGCUGCAUGGCUGUCGUCAGCUCGUGUCGUGAGAUGUUGGGUUAAGUCCCGCAACGAGCGCAACCCUUGUCAUUAGUUGCUACAUUUAGUUGAGCACUCUAAUGAGACUGCCGGUGACAAACCGGAGGAAGGUGGGGAUGACGUCAUGUCCUCAUGGCCCUUAUGGGUAGGGCUUCACACGUCAUACAAUGGUACAUACAGAGGGCCGCCAACCCGCGAGGGGGAGCUAAUCCCAGAAAGUGUAUCGUAGUCCGGAUCGCAGUCUGCAACUCGACUGCGUGAAGUUGGAAUCGCUAGUAAUCGCGGAUCAGCAUGUCGCGGUGAAUACGUUCCCGGGUCUUGUACACACCGCCCGUCACACCAUGGGAGCGGGUUUUACCAGAAGUAGGUAGCUUAACCGCAAGGAGGGCGCUUACCACGGUAGGAUUCGUGACUGGAGUGAAGUCGUAACAAGGUAGCCGUAUCGGAAGGUGC
RNAcentral lists this ribosomal RNA (725 nucleotides) under uncultured bacterium. Its description in RNAcentral is "bacterial SSU rRNA". It matches the Rfam family "Bacterial small subunit ribosomal RNA", at positions 789 to 1515 of the family's 1533-position model. The record is from RNAcentral.